Molecule: long non-coding RNA, 673 nt
Organism: Calidris pugnax (ruff)
Lineage: Eukaryota; Metazoa; Chordata; Aves; Charadriiformes; Scolopacidae
Exons: 5
Source: RefSeq, a predicted model, not a curated record
ACCCUCUCAAAGUACUUUAGGUUUCCCAAUGAGGAGGUUUAUCCCAAAUCCUACAUCUCUUUCAAUUCUAUGUCCUUUCUCUUCUAUAGAAAACUUCACAUGAAGUAUGCUUUCUGCUGCUGUGGUUUCAGAAAUCAUCUUAGAAGUUGAAACAAAGCUCAUGACAUUGUUCCUCCUUUGAUUUGUGUCAUUUUCUGAAUCACAAAUGCUGUAUAUGCCUGCAGUCUUCUGAUCUGUGGGGUCCUUUUGGACACAACUACAUUCAAAAAAAGGAAGUGCUGUUUAGCCACCUUAGAACCUGGCUGAUCCACUUAAUUCUACUUCCAUGAAAUAUUAAAUAUAGUUCAUUUUAAAAAAUGCAGGUUGGUUUCUGGCAACAAUUACACUAAGUGUUCUAGGAGCCUCAGGCAUCAUCAUCGUAAUCUGGUGGAGUUAUGAACAGAAAAAGCAAGAAAAGAUGAGCAUCUGGCUCCAGAGAAGACGAACGAAAAUAUGUUGUUCCCUCAUCCUUUUCCCAUGUGUAUUCCUGUUUGUAACAGGGGUAACAGGACAGCAGAGCACCAUGGAUCAACAAGCUUCAGAUGUUAACUGCAACUCGUCCAAAGGUUCGUCUCCGGCAAUAAUUACACUAAGUGUUCUAGGAGCCUCAAGCAUCAUCUUGAAUUUUGUACUA